RNAcentral lists this transfer RNA (76 nucleotides) under Acholeplasmataceae bacterium. RNAcentral's name for it is "tRNA-Phe". It matches the Rfam family "tRNA". Rfam says of the family: Transfer RNA (tRNA) molecules are approximately 80 nucleotides in length. Their secondary structure includes four short double-helical elements and three loops (D, anti-codon, and T loops). Lineage: Bacteria; Bacillati; Mycoplasmatota; Mollicutes; Acholeplasmatales; Acholeplasmataceae. The record is from RNAcentral.
GGCUCGGUAGCUCAGUUGGUAGAGCAAAGGACUGAAAAUCCUUGUGUCGACGGUUCAAUUCCGCCCCGAGCCACCA